GGACAGCGGCGAAAGGGAGAGGACAACACGGGAAUCUGCCUUGGGGACGAGGAUAGCGUCGGGAAACUGACAGUAAUACUCGAUAAUGUUUGCGGACCAAAGGUGUGAUUCCGCCCCAAGAUGAGCCCGUGCCCCAUUAGCUAGUUGGCAGGGUAAUGGCCUACCAAGGCUAUGAUGGGUAGCUGGUGUGAGAGCACGACCAGCCUCACUGGCACUGAGACACUGGCCAGACACCUACGGGUGGCUGCAGUCGAGAAUCUUUGGCAAUGGACGAAAGUCUGACCAAGCGACGCCGCGUGCGGGAUGAAGGCCUUCGGGUUGUAAACCGCUGUCGUAGGGAAUCAAAUGUACGGGGGUUCUCCCCUGUAUUUGAGAGAUCCUAGGAGGAAGGAGAGGCUAAGCUCGUGCCAGCAGCCGCGGUAAGACGAGCUCUCCAAACGUUAUUCGGUAUUACUGGGCUUAAAGAGUUCGUAGGCGGCUUUGUAGGUGGGGUGUGAAAGCCCUCGGCUUAACCGAGG
RNAcentral lists this ribosomal RNA (518 nucleotides) under uncultured Planctomycetaceae bacterium. RNAcentral's name for it is "bacterial SSU rRNA". It matches the Rfam family "Bacterial small subunit ribosomal RNA", at positions 90 to 618 of the family's 1533-position model. The record is from RNAcentral. Lineage: Bacteria; Pseudomonadati; Planctomycetota; Planctomycetia; Planctomycetales; Planctomycetaceae.